GGGAAUCUUCCGCAAUGGGCGAAAGCCUGACGGAGCAACGCCGCGUGAGGGAUGAAGGCCUCUGGGCUGUAAACCUCUUUUAUCAAGGAAGAAGAUCUGACGGUACUUGAUGAAUAAGCCACGGCUAAUUCCGUGCCAGCAGCCGCGGUAAUACGGGAGUGGCAAGCGUUAUCCGGAAUUAUUGGGCGUAAAGCGUCCGCAGGCGGUCUUACAAGUCUGUCGUUAAAGCGUGGAGCUUAACUCCAUUUCAGCGAUGGAAACUGUAAGACUAGAGUGUGGUAGGGGCAGAGGGAAUUCCCGGUGUAGCGGUGAAAUGCGUAGAUAUCGGGAAGAACACCAGUGGCGAAGGCGCUCUGCUGGGCCAUAACUGACGCUCAUGGACGAAAGCCAGGGGAGCGAAAGGGAUUAGAUACCCCUGUAGUC
This 423-nucleotide ribosomal RNA is filed under the name uncultured cyanobacterium. RNAcentral's name for it is "bacterial SSU rRNA". It matches the Rfam family "Bacterial small subunit ribosomal RNA", at positions 357 to 795 of the family's 1533-position model. The record is from RNAcentral. Lineage: Bacteria; Bacillati; Cyanobacteriota.